GAAUCUACCAGGAUCCCUGCUUGCUACAUCUUCAAAAUUUAUAUCUCCUACUCUUCACACUACACAACCAUAAGCAAAGACCAAAGCACAUUCCAGAUUUCAGACCCCAGGACAACUGUGACCUACGUAUAGCCUUCAGAUACGCCAUUCAUAACAUUCUGCUUCCAAUUGUUGAUUAAAAUAUAACAAAAGGAGGUAUUUUAAAUCCAAUUAAGUGUUUAAAUUUUACACAUCAGUAUUUAAGUAAAAUAGUAAACUGCACGAAAAUGAAACACUGUAAGUAACUCUGGAAAAACAAGACUAUGAAUAUCUCUUAGAUGUGACAUCCUCCUAACAGAGGUGUGUCCCACAUCAUCUAUAGCCUGAAUGGCUUCUUUGGAGCCAGUGUGAAAUGUGCUGGUGAACAGGUGGCUCACAUGUACAAGGCUGUCAGAUACUGUACAUCAGCACUCCUUUGGCCGUUUGAUUAGGAUUUCCUAACAGGCCAGUACUGCAGUCCUUCUGCAUCCAGCAUCUGCUACUGCAUCACAACGGCAGAACAAAGAAGGUGCAGGCUCAGAGGCUCAGCCUGCCUGUGACCAGCACUUACACACCCACCUUCCCAGGACCACCUGGUCUACAAGAUUGGAUGGUUUGUGCAAAUCUGCCACCCACUGACAAUGACUGCAAACAGGGGACAGAAAGGGAAGCAAAUUUGAAAGCCCUUUGAGAACAUUUGUGACAACACUGACAAGAAAUCCCAGUGAUUUAAGCAACACUAAUAACCAUAUGUCUGGACCUAUGUUCAGCUGUAAUUUACACAUUAAGUAUAAGCUCUUAUUUUCAUACUUGAGAAAACAUGCCAACUAUUCAGUAUUUAUUAACAUUGUUAACUUGCAGAAUGAGAAAACUAAUUACAAUAGAAGGAAGGAAAUAUUGGUCUUGGGAAAAAAUGACUUUGGUUUUCAUACAGGUAGGUGGUAAAGGAGUCAUUACUACUUCCCAAAACCAAUCCAGCACAUCUGUAUCUUAACCUACAAUAUUACAGCAGAUAUGAUCACUAUAUGGGCAAAUAUAAAAAUAUGCUCAUAAAAAUCUGCUCCAACACACUAAGUCAUUCCAGCACACCACAAUAUAAUUUUUGUAGGUAUACACGGCAAUCAACUGUGUGACACAAUUAAAGGCCUUGUGUAUCACAAGUUUUCCUCAAAGUACUGUGAGCAGAGCUGUUGAACUAGGACAUGAGAGCUGUGGGAGGGGAAACAGGCCAGAAUGAAAUAAAAGUCUUUGCAACAGAAAGCUUAUGCUCAGCACCAUAAGCUGAGCAAAUGGCAGAGGGAGAUUAGGUAGGGAGUAUCUGCCUGCUUAAAAAAACUAAGUAAGGGCAUGUGGGUGGCACAGUUGGUUGAGCGUCCAACUCUUGGUUUUGCCUCAGGUCAUGAUCUCAGGGUCCUGGGAUUGAGCCCUGCAUUAGGCUCCACACUCAACA
Molecule: long non-coding RNA, 1468 nt
Organism: Canis lupus familiaris (dog)
Lineage: Eukaryota; Metazoa; Chordata; Mammalia; Carnivora; Canidae
Exons: 3
Source: RefSeq, a predicted model, not a curated record